This 346-nucleotide unclassified non-coding RNA is filed under the name soil metagenome. Its description in RNAcentral is "partial contains 5.8S ribosomal RNA, internal transcribed spacer 2, and large subunit ribosomal RNA". The stretch from base 1 to 121 matches the Rfam family "5.8S ribosomal RNA", at positions 35 to 154 of the family's 154-position model. The record is from RNAcentral.
GAUGAAGAACGUAGCGAAAUGCGAUAAGUAAUGCGAAUUGCAGAAUUUCCGUGAGUCAUCGAAUCUUUGAACGCACAUUGCGCCCACUGGUAUUCCGGUGGGCAUGCCUGUUCGAGCGUCAUUAUCCUCCCUCAAACCCCGGGUUUGGUGUUGGACCGAAGUUGUGUGAACAACUGGUGUAAAAAACAAUGACGGCGUCCGUGGGACCCUCGGUGCAACGAGCUUUUAGGAGCACGCGCCGAGUUGCAAGGACCUUCCGGGCCGGUCUCCUUUUACUAUUUUACAAGGUUGACCUCGGAUCAGGUAGGAAUACCCGCUGAACUUAAGCAUAUCAAUAAGCGGAGGA